RNAcentral lists this long non-coding RNA (577 nucleotides) under Oryctolagus cuniculus (rabbit). Its description in RNAcentral is "lncRNA (ENSOCUG00000035291.1)". Lineage: Eukaryota; Metazoa; Chordata; Mammalia; Lagomorpha; Leporidae. The record is from RNAcentral.
AUAAAACCCAGCUCUAUGAACUGGUGGCCAUGAUGAUUUAAAUUUUCAUUGUGAGAUCAUCAUCACCCCCAACAUUCUAUGGGUGUCCUGGAAACCUUCAUGUACAUAGUGUCUUUGAGCUAUCCUAGUGAAGGUUGAUCAUUCUCUCUUCUCAAGGUGUGACCUGGGAUUGUACUGGCUGUACUGCAAGCACUUCAUGAAGAUGCCAUGUGCCAGCAUCCCUGUACCCCGUCCUGGUGUUGCAUCUGCUACAGUGGCUGGGCAAGCAAGUGCUAUGACAAAGGAUGUGCAACACAAACCCCGUGGCCAGCAGUGUUACCUUCUGUGGAUCAUACCCCUACUGAUACUGAAGCACAACAUCCAAUAUGACCCCACAACUAGCCCUGGGUCAUACAGCAAAUCACGGCUCAGCAGCUCCUGCCCUUCUUCCAGAUGGCCACCAAAAUGGAGAGCAACAGGAACCCUGAGAAUCCCUAUUGUCCCUACCAACUCUGGUAAGCCAAGUGCCACAAAACAGCUCCAUGCAGAGCCCUCCAUAAUGGGGGCCUUUCCUGUCAGUAUAGCAUGGCCCCAGUAG